UUCUCUUCUUCGCCAGUUUUUGGCUCCUCGGCCUUGACAACUUGUUCUUCUGCUGCUGCUUCUUUUUCUUUUGGGGGCGCUUCAGGUGCUUUCUCCUCUUCUUUGGCUGCUGGUGGUGGUGGUGGUGGUGGUGGCGGGGCGGUGAACUCGUGCUUGUUAAGCGCGUCUUGAAUAAGCUGCUUCAGUUCAUCAAGAGCUUUCUUCUGAGGGUCGGGUAACUCACCAACAACGUUGCUCUCUUCUUUGAAAGAAGCCGAUUGAGCAAUCUUUUCUCCCUCGACGGGCUUCGGUUUCUCAGCCUCAACCACUUCUUCAACACCAGCAGCAGCAGCAGAUUCCUCAGUGCGCUUCUCCGGUGCUUCAGGCUCAGGUACGGGAGCAGGUGCCUGUUCUUUCUCCUUCUCAGCGACCGGUUUCUCCACCGCAACUUCCUCGGCUGCAGCUGGCUUUUGCGUGUCCUCGGCCAUGGAUGAUGAUGAAGCAGACUUGCUGAUGAUGAUUGGGC
This 505-nucleotide long non-coding RNA is filed under the name Citrus maxima (pomelo). RNAcentral's name for it is "long non-coding RNA (CMAX_LNC001606)". Lineage: Eukaryota; Viridiplantae; Streptophyta; Magnoliopsida; Sapindales; Rutaceae. The record is from RNAcentral.